AGAUUAAACAUCAUGACCAAGACAGUGUGCAGACGGGAGCGUCUACCUUGACUCACAGUUACAGAGGACUCACCAUGGAGGGCAAGCAUGGCAGCAAACAGCAGUAGGCAUGGUUGCAGGGGCAAGAAGGCCACAUCUUGAGCCACAAGCACAGAGCAGAGAGAGCAAGUAAAGUAGAAGGGACCAUUUAAUCCAAGGGCUUUUUCCCAGAUUUCCUCAGCCUAACACAAACCUCACUAAGAAAUGCCACCAAGUUGAAUCCAAGUGUACAAAUGCCUAAGUCCAUGGGGGGAGGGCGAUGUCUCAUUCCAACCACUCCAGUGGAAUACAUAGGGAGACACUGUCUAGGAAAAAGAGGAAUGUGACCUAAAUCCAUGAUUGUUCUCUCUAUAUUCAAAGAAGGGAGAAACUUGUCACUGACACCACCUUAACACUCUGUGGGCAGGCAGGUGAGUCACCGAGACCAUUAUACAAGACUGUCCCUGAGGUGAGAGCCCUUUCAGCUUUCCUAUUCAUCCCUCCCUGUUUCUUCUUCCCAGCGCAGAUGAUAUGUGAAUGGAUUACUCUACCCAUAUCGGCUCUUCCCUCGUCAAGUCGAGUCAACUCUGGCAAUAUGGAUUUCUCCCCUGAAGCAUGGGUCUCACGUAUCAUGUGCUGGCCUCCAGCUCCACCUCAUUGUGGAAGAGAAUAUGGCCUUAUGCUCAAGCUCAUUAGUGCCCAAUGGGAUGUGACAAAGCGCUUGCAAUGUGUGGUCAGAGUUUCUUCCUGGUCAGGCUGACUGGUGAUGGCUGUUUCUCACCCUGAGGACUCAGGACUCUCUUCGGCAGCUGGGCCACAGGAAUGUCAUUUCUUACUGUGUCUGGUUUUGAUUUUCCUUGUACUGCUGGUGACGAACACUAGGCCCUAUGUAAGCAAGGUAAGAGCUCUACUAAUAAGCCAGAUCCCAGCCUGCAACAGGCUUUGCUUAACUGAAAAAAAUCUUUCUUAGCUCAAAGCCUAAUAAUUUUUCCUUCUGGAAGUUUUUAAAGUUCAGUUUUUAUAUUUGAAUUUGUGAACUAUUUUGAAAUAACUAUGGAAAUGAUCAAAUGAUGUCAUUCUUUUCAUUGUAUGCACACCCACCCACACACUCCCACACACUCCCACACACUGGAUUAUGGAAUGCUUCAAAGACUUAGUGUUGGAGUAAAAUAAUAAGAAAUGUAGUCUUGAUUAUCAAUUGAUGUAGGAAAGCCCAGCCCACCAUGGGUGGCACCAUACCCUGAGCCCAUAUUUCUGGGCUAUAUAAGAAGGCUACCUAAUUUCUCCAUGGUUUCUGCUGUGCUUCCUUGAUUUAAGUUCCUUGGUCAGAGCUAAACUGUGUCUCUGCCUUCAGGUUCUGCCUUGAGUGCUUACCUUGUCUUCCCUCGCUGACAGGCAAUGACCUGGAAAUGUAGGAUGAAAUCAACUGUUUCUUCCUUUGAAAAAAGAAAUGAUAGACAAACGCAAUGGCCAUGCACUCAUACAGAAUGUUUUCUCUCAUCAUGGAGCUACCUCAUGAUCCUGCUGCUGUGGGGAGUAACUCCCUGAAGCCCUGUAGGCCGCAUCUCAUGCCCUUUCUCUUCUCAUUUCUCUCUAUCCACGCGGCAUACAGUCCUGCUGCCCUUUAGAAAAAGGGACAGAGAGCUUUGACAGAGACAACUGGGAUGAUGAAUGGAAUUUAAUUUAUGCAAGUCCUCUAAUUAUGGCGAUGACCUACAUUCUCCUCUCACUGACAGAGCACACACUCACCUUGAAAGCUGCUGACUAGCUAGAAAGACUGGAGUGAGAGCAUGCUCUGCGAGUCACAGCCCCCAACUGUGAGCACUAAAGAAUUCCUGAAUGACCAGGCAAGUCUACAGACUCCAUGUAAGAUUUAAAAAAAAAAACUCCUAAAAACUAUUCUAUUCACAGUAAUAAAAAAUAUUCUCAGGGUGAGACAAAGCCUUCCUUCCAUAGAUGACAAAGAAAUGAGCAAAUGGCUUUAUUUGGAAGUGCAAAGCUUGAGUCUGUGUGUCAUGUUGGGCCCGUUAAUUAUGCUUGUAAUUUGUGUCAUCGAUGAGUCAUCAGCUCCAUGAGUUAUAAAUAUAUAGCAAUUCCAUUCUUCCUUAAGUAAUUGGUUAUGAGGGUAGGUGAACAGCAUCGUCAUUUUAGAAGUCAUGUGGCCAUUUUCUUUGACAUCCCAAGGGGAUAGUAGCUUUGAAGCACUACAUUUGUUCUUGAAGCCACUGUCCCAAUUUGGUGUUGAAAGUUGUCCCAAGUAUGUUGUUCACACGGAGUCAUUUUGCUUGUUUAUAUAGAGUGAUUUCUCUUCCUCAGGACAAUGCAGGAAAAUGGAUAUAGUGUAGAUGUUUGUUUAUGAGCCUCAGUGGUAAUAUUUCACUGAAAAAAUUAGACUGUUUUCUAUGCAAGGACCAGAAAUGUGGGCUAUUCCCUCAUUGGUUUUUUAUUUAUUUUGU
Molecule: small RNA, 2474 nt
Filed under: Rattus norvegicus (Norway rat)
Lineage: Eukaryota; Metazoa; Chordata; Mammalia; Rodentia; Muridae
Description: uncharacterized LOC102548769
Source: RNAcentral